This 202-nucleotide ribosomal RNA is filed under the name bacterium enrichment culture clone ALO1_GLFRUDD03F7NFR. RNAcentral describes it as "partial 16S ribosomal RNA". It matches the Rfam family "Bacterial small subunit ribosomal RNA", at positions 9 to 214 of the family's 1533-position model. The record is from RNAcentral.
GAGUUUGAUCCUGGCUCAGAUUGAACGCUGGCGGCAUGCCUUACACAUGCAAGUCGAACGGCAGCACGGGAGCUUGCUCCUGGUGGGCGAGUGGCGAACGGGUGAGUAAUGCAUCGGAACGUAUCCUGGGAGUGGGGGAUAACGUAGCGAAAGUUACGCUAAUACCGCAUAUUCUGUGAGCAGGAAAGCGGGGGAACCUUUC